Molecule: small nuclear RNA, 136 nt
Organism: Gracilinanus agilis (Agile Gracile Mouse Opossum)
Lineage: Eukaryota; Metazoa; Chordata; Mammalia; Didelphimorphia; Didelphidae
Product: U4 spliceosomal RNA
Exons: 1
Source: RefSeq, a predicted model, not a curated record
AGCUUUGCAUAGUGGUAGUAUCGUAGCCAAAGAGGUUUAUCUGAGGCACAAUUAUUGCUAAUUGAAACUAAAAUAAGAGCUAAUGCUUAGAAUGGAGAAAACUCAGUUUUGGAAUAUGUAAACCCUAGAUCCCAAU